RNAcentral lists this ribosomal RNA (253 nucleotides) under uncultured bacterium. RNAcentral describes it as "partial 16S ribosomal RNA". It matches the Rfam family "Bacterial small subunit ribosomal RNA", at positions 524 to 776 of the family's 1533-position model. The record is from RNAcentral.
UACGUAGGGUGCAAGCGUUAAUCGGAAUUACUGGGCGUAAAGCGUGCGCAGGCGGUUCGUUAAGACAGAUGUGAAAUCCCCGGGCUUAACCUGGGAACUGCAUUUGUGACUGGCGGGCUAGAGUAUGGCAGAGGGGGGUAGAAUUCCACGUGUAGCAGUGAAAUGCGUAGAGAUGUGGAGGAAUACCGAUGGCGAAGGCAGCCCCCUGGGCCAAUACUGACGCUGAGGCGCGAGAGCGUGGGGAGCAAACAGG